This is a long non-coding RNA of Bombyx mori (domestic silkworm), 1151 nucleotides long. RefSeq lists it as uncharacterized. NCBI's taxonomy places the organism in Eukaryota, Metazoa, Arthropoda, Insecta, Lepidoptera, Bombycidae. The transcript has 2 exons. The record is from RefSeq and is a predicted model, not a curated record.
AAUCUUUCGACGCUCAAUAUUAAUCUUUUUAUCGUUGCAAAAUCUUCUAUUUUUUGUACUGUAAUAGUAGAACGUUGAAAGUUCACAAAACAACUCUGAAUAUGCAUGAAAAUAGCUGCUAACUUAUAAAAAAUUGCAUUUCAAAUUGACUUCUUGUGGUGGUAAUUAUUUUAGUAUUAAAAACGUUGAUUUCUUUUAUUUAUCUGAUAAUAAUAGAAGACGACUGUGAAUUAUAAACGUUAUUUAGUGUUUGAACCAUCAUAUAUAUUAAAGGUAAGUCUCAGUUGUUAUUGAUUUUAAUGUUUUUGAUAAAAUAAGAAUACAUGUAAAAAUCUGUUGUUUUUGGGGAUAUUGGGGACGUGUCAGGUACAAAUAACAACGAGAAAGGGGUCAAUUGGGAUGAAAAUAAGUAAAAUAGAAACGAACUAAGUAUAAAUAGGUACAGGUUUGUAGGGUUAUCUAUGUAGUUAAAACAAUAUUUUUUUAAUUUGUUGGUAAGCAUCUGGUUUAUUCAUGAUGUUUUUGUCUAGAACUUUUAUUCAAAAUUAUCAAUGCAGUGUUAUUUUAUUGUUUGGCAAAUAUUUAUAUUAUCAGUUACAUGUUGUUUUCCAUUUUUCGAUAUGCCUCGCGGUUACGUAUCAAAGAGUGCAAAUCCUUGAGAUAUGAUCUCUUAAUAUUAAAAACAGUAAUAGAAGCUAUGAAAUUAGGAAUAAGUCUUUAGUUGAAAUACCUAAGCAAUUUACCAUAAGUAACUCGGUUUUGCACAGACAUGUAACAAGAAGGACGAAAUCUCAAGGUGGACAUGUAUAAAAAUAUCAGCCCCUAAGUACUGUACAGCCGGACCUCGGUUCGUAAACUGUGGAAAACAUCUGUCAAGGCUUUAAUGAGCAAGAAUUCCACAUGACCACGACUGCUCUGCCAAGAGCAACCGAUUAUGAUGAUGAAGUAAUACUGAAUAUUCGGCAAGCUGCGAGGCCGAACCGCCGGAUAUUCGGCCCUUUCGGAAAUACUCGUGUGCGUUCGGGUGUUGUCGCACGUGAGUGGAGAUCGCGACGACGCGGUACGACGACGAUUUGGUAUUCAUUCACCAUAAUUUUCCACUUGUUAUUUCACUUUUAACGUGCGAUUAUAAAAAUCAAACUUGUCCAUAA